GAUCUUUGGGAAAGGUCACGGCGGGCUGGAGAUCCAACUACAGACUUGGACAAUGAGCUUGAGAGGUUCUGGACUGGGGAACACUCGGAGGUGCUGGGAGAGGGGCCACGCCUGGAGAAAUCACGAGAACUCCACCUGCUUCCUCCCAAGCCCUGUCCUGUGCUCUCUUCCACUUGACUGCUUCUGAGUCAAAUGACUUAUAAUAAACCAUUAACAGUAAGUAAGGCGGUGUCUGUGGAUUUGUCCAAGCUGCACAGGGCUCUGUACUGUGGCUGAGGUCUGAAGCAGGGGCUCGCUUACAAGAUGGAAGAAGGCUUAACCCAUGGUAUCCAUCCAAACCCUGGAAAUUAACGCCAGAACUAAACAGACACUCGACAGUUAAACUGCCAUCUUUGGUUGUCGAUGUGGAAAACACCUCAGAACUGGUGUCAGAAAGAGGACUUGAUAGCACAGCUGUGGCUCACAGAAGCAUGUGCCUUGGGAAGAAAAAAGAAAUGAACCGGAAGAGAUUCCUGAGUGGCUACAUUGUUACUCACGGUACCAACCACAGCUACAGUGUCCUUAUCAGCUACUAAAGCUGGGAACGGAACCCAGGACUCUGUGUGUGGUAACUACACACUCUACCCUGAGCAAAGCCCUCUAGCACUGAAUCUUGCUUCUUAGAUGCUGCCAGUAGUCAGGCGUGCAUGGGCUGAUGCAGGUUUCCCAAUCACAGAUGAUUCCUGAGGGAACUGACAGCCUCGAAGAUGGGAUAUGAACCACCAUAAAGUCUAUUCAACUUGCAGUCACUCACCCAACUCCUCUCAAAAACGCCAGCCAAGGGGAUCGUCCAGAGAAAGCAAUAGCUAUACCUCACAUACAAAGCCAAGCAGGGCUGGCUUUAUGAUUGGCAGGAUAUCCACCGGCUGAAUACACUCAUUGCCAGGCCACGGUAAAUGCCAAAGUUACACAUGUCUGUGAGAAUGUACAGAGAAAAUGAAAAAGAGGACUGGGAGGAAGGUGAGGAUUUUCUUUCUUGUGAUGUCAUGAAGAAUGCGCCGUCGGUGUUAAAAUGGAGUGUGAAACUCUCUGGAGUUUCUGUGAGAAGGCAAGGCAGAGGGAGGGAUUCAGGAGAGGUUACUUGGAAUACUCUUGUUGGGUUUGGGGACAGAGGAUUGGUUUCUGGUUGUCCAGUAAGAGGCCUUAAGUUAAUUUAAGGCUUGGUAUAGGAGCUGGGAACAAGGAUGUAAUUGCUGGUGUAGACUCAGGAGUAAUUGGCUUGAACACACACACACACGCACGCGUGCGCGCGCACACACACUCACUCCCAAUCAAGAGCAUUAUAAUCUCUCCGAAUUGCACAGCUCCAAGAAGGGCAGUCUCCCCCUGGCUCUCUAAGACCCCCAAUGCCAGAGCAUGAAGAACACAGGAAAUAGGAAAAUGAGGCUGACACCCCGAGUUUGAUCGCGAGUAAACUGACUCCCACGGAUGUCUUCUGACCUUCAUAGACACCUUUACCCCCAAUAACAAUAAAUUAAAAUUUUUAAAAUAAUUGAAUU
Rattus norvegicus (Norway rat) is the source of this 1538-nucleotide long non-coding RNA. RefSeq lists it as uncharacterized. The record is from RefSeq and is a predicted model, not a curated record. NCBI's taxonomy places the organism in Eukaryota, Metazoa, Chordata, Mammalia, Rodentia, Muridae.